UACGGAGGGGGCUAGCGUUGUUCGGAAUUACUGGGCGUAAAGCGCACGUAGGCGGCGAUUUAAGUCAGAGGUGAAAGCCCGGGGCUCAACCCCGGAAUAGCCUUUGAGACUGGAUUGCUAGAAUCUUGGAGAGGCGAGUGGAAUUCCGAGUGUAGAGGUGAAAUUCGUAGAUAUUCGGAAGAACACCAGUGGCGAAGGCGGCUCGCUGGACAAGUACUGACGCUGAGGUGCGAAAGCGUGGGGAGCAAACAGG
RNAcentral lists this ribosomal RNA (253 nucleotides) under uncultured bacterium. RNAcentral describes it as "partial 16S ribosomal RNA". It matches the Rfam family "Bacterial small subunit ribosomal RNA", at positions 524 to 776 of the family's 1533-position model. The record is from RNAcentral.